RNAcentral lists this ribosomal RNA (468 nucleotides) under uncultured bacterium. RNAcentral's name for it is "partial 16S ribosomal RNA". It matches the Rfam family "Bacterial small subunit ribosomal RNA", at positions 28 to 507 of the family's 1533-position model. The record is from RNAcentral.
GACGAACGCUGGCGGCGUGCUUAACACAUGCAAGUCGAACGGAAAGGCCCUGCUUUUGUGGGGUGCUCGAGUGGCGAACGGGUGAGUAACACGUGAGUAACCUGCCCUUGACUUUGGGAUAACUUCAGGAAACUGGGGCUAAUACCGGAUAGGAGCUCCUGCUGCAUGGUGGGGGUUGGAAAGUUUCGGCGGUUGGGGAUGGACUCGCGGCUUAUCAGCUUGUUGGUGGGGUAGUGGCUUACCAAGGCUUUGACGGGUAGCCGGCCUGAGAGGGUGACCGGCCACAUUGGGACUGAGAUACGGCCCAGACUCCUACGGGAGGCAGCAGUCGGGAAUAUUACACAAUGGGCGGAAGCCUGAUGCAGCAGCGCCGCGUGCGGGAUGACGGCCUUCGGGUUGUAAACCGCUUUCGCCUGUGACGAAGCGUGAGUGACGGUAAUGGGUAAAGAAGCACCGGCUAACUACGUG